CAUACCAGAUAUAAACAUAUCUA
RNAcentral lists this small nuclear RNA (23 nucleotides) under Arabidopsis thaliana (thale cress). Its description in RNAcentral is "snRNA_17004". Lineage: Eukaryota; Viridiplantae; Streptophyta; Magnoliopsida; Brassicales; Brassicaceae. The record is from RNAcentral.